UUACAGUAGCAAUUCAGUGUGUGCGUCGAUAAGGGGCUGUAGAUAAUAGCUUUCGGUUUGGGCGCGCACACAUCCCUCCCAUAUUUUCCCCCAAAUCAAUAUCAGACAAUUCUCGCCCAAAUCAACAUUAGCUUCUUAGUCAGUCGAUCAACCGGUAAAUUCUUAGUCGCCCAAAUCUCUUCUGGUCUCACUCCAUCUCUUGUCACUGCAUCUCAUGUCCGCCAGAAAAUUCUUCGUCUCACUCCAUCUCUCCGUCCGGCUUGAAAGCAUUCUUGCAUUUUCAAACUAUUUGAGCAGGUAAUUUCAAUCUUCAAUUUAUAUUUAACCGUAAGUUGUUAUGAUUUCCUCUAUUUCUCUCAUCCAUCUAACAAGCCCUAAAUUUUUACUUGAUUGUCACCGGAGUCUUAGAUAAGUUUUCAAAAGGAAGAUUUAGUGCGGAUCCAGUUUAGCUGUGACGAGUAUUUAAGAAAUUCGAAACUUGAUUACACUAGCAUUUUUCUGGGUAAGUGGAG
Molecule: long non-coding RNA, 512 nt
Filed under: Panax ginseng (ginseng)
Lineage: Eukaryota; Viridiplantae; Streptophyta; Magnoliopsida; Apiales; Araliaceae
Description: long non-coding RNA (PGIN_LNC007179)
Source: RNAcentral